UACGUAGGGGGCAAGCGUUGUCCGGAUUUAUUGGGCGUAAAGCGCUCGCAGGCGGUCCGAUGCGUCGUGCGUGAAAGACCCCGGCUCAACUGGGGAGGGUCGUGCGAUACGGUCGGACUCGAGGCCAGUAGGGGGACGCGGAAUUCCGGGUGUAGUGGUGGAAUGCGUAGAGAUCCGGAGGAACACCAGCGGCGAAGGCGGCACGCUGGGCCGUACCUGACGCUAAAGCGCGACAGCAUGGGGAGCAAACGGG
RNAcentral lists this ribosomal RNA (253 nucleotides) under uncultured bacterium. RNAcentral describes it as "partial 16S ribosomal RNA". It matches the Rfam family "Bacterial small subunit ribosomal RNA", at positions 524 to 776 of the family's 1533-position model. The record is from RNAcentral.